GAUGAACGCUGGCGGCGUGCCUAAUACAUGCAGGUCGAGCGAACGGACGAGAAGCUUGCUUCUCUGAUGUUAGCGGCGGACGGGUGAGUAACACGUGGAUAACCUACCUAUAAGACUGGGAUAACUUCGGGAAACCGUAGCUAAUACCGGAUAAUAUUUUGAACCGCAUGGUUCAAAAGUGAAAGACGGUCUUGCUGUCACUUAUAGAUGGAUCCGCGCUGCAUUAGCUAGUUGGUAAGGUAACGGCUUACCAAGGCAACGAUGCAUAGCCGACCUGAGAGGGUGAUCGGCCACCCUGGAACUGAGACACGGUCCAGACUCCUACGGGAGGCAGCAGUAGGGAAUCUUCCGCAAUGGGCGAAAGCCUGACGGAGCAACGCCGCGUGAGUGAUGAAGGUCUUCGGAUCGUAAAACUCUGUUAUUAGGGAAGAACAUAUGUGUAAGUAACUGUGCACAUCUUGACGGUACCUAAUCAGAAAGCCACGGCUAACUACGUG
RNAcentral lists this ribosomal RNA (497 nucleotides) under uncultured bacterium. Its description in RNAcentral is "partial 16S ribosomal RNA". It matches the Rfam family "Bacterial small subunit ribosomal RNA", at positions 28 to 507 of the family's 1533-position model. The record is from RNAcentral.